This 572-nucleotide ribosomal RNA is filed under the name Neoascia tenur. Its description in RNAcentral is "eukaryotic LSU rRNA". Lineage: Eukaryota; Metazoa; Arthropoda; Insecta; Diptera; Syrphidae. The record is from RNAcentral.
UGCUUAGAGGUUAAGCCCGAUGAACCUGAAUAUCCGUUAUGGAAAAUUCAUCAUUAAUACUAUGAUAUUUUUAUUAAUAUUAUAGAAAUAGUGUGCAAUUUUUCCAUAUAAGGACAUUGUAAUCUGUUAAUGUAUUAAAUAUUUAUCAAAAGAUCUAUGAACAUUAUGUUUGAUGGUGUAUUGGUUUUCUAUUUAUAGUUAAUUUUUUACACAUAUCAAUCGUUUAAGAUUUGAUAAAUCAUUGACAGAUUUAUUUAUAUAUAGUGCUUAAAUUUUGUUUUGCAAAAUUUUACAAUAAUAGAUUAAACUAUUGUUUAAUUUAUAUUGUAUGCACUUAUAUGAUUAACAAUGCGAUAGAUUCAGGAUACCUUCGGGACCCGUCUUGAAACACGGACCAAGGAGUCUAACAUAUGUGCAAGUCAUUGGGUAUUUUUAAUAAAACCCAAAGGCGUAAUUAACUUAACUGUUUUUAUGGGAUUAGUUUAUGUUUUAUUUAUAAAAUAUAAAUUCAAUCCCGGGGCGUUCUAUACAGUUAUGCAUAAUGAUUAUUUUAUCAUUUAUGCCUCUAACUA